RNAcentral lists this ribosomal RNA (467 nucleotides) under uncultured bacterium. RNAcentral describes it as "partial 16S ribosomal RNA". It matches the Rfam family "Bacterial small subunit ribosomal RNA", at positions 28 to 507 of the family's 1533-position model. The record is from RNAcentral.
GACGAACGCUGGCGGCGUGCUUAACACAUGCAAGUCGAACGGAAGGCCCUGCUUUUGUGGGGUGCUCGAGUGGCGAACGGGUGAGUAACACGUGAGUAACCUGCCCUUGACUUUGGGAUAACUUCAGGAAACUGGGGCUAAUACCGGAUAGGAGCUCCUGCUGCAUGGUGGGGGUUGGAAAGUUUCGGCGGUUGGGGAUGGACUCGCGGCUUAUCAGCUUGUUGGUGGGGUAGUGGCUUACCAAGGCUUUGACGGGUAGCCGGCCUGAGAGGGUGACCGGCCACAUUGGGACUGAGAUACGGCCCAGACUCCUACGGGAGGCAGCAGUGGGGAAUACUGCACAAUGGGCGGAAGCCUGAUGCAGCAACGCCGCGUGCGGGAUGACGGCCUUCGGGUUGUAAACCGCCUUCGCCUGUGACGAGGCGUGAGUGACGGUAAUGGGUAAAGAAGCACCGGCUAACUACGUG